This 499-nucleotide ribosomal RNA is filed under the name uncultured bacterium. RNAcentral's name for it is "partial 16S ribosomal RNA". It matches the Rfam family "Bacterial small subunit ribosomal RNA", at positions 28 to 507 of the family's 1533-position model. The record is from RNAcentral.
GAUGAACGCUGGCGGCGUGCCUAAUACAUGCAAGUCGAGCGAACAGACGAGAGUGCUUGCACCCUCUGACGUUAGCGGCGGACGGGUGAGUAACACGUGGGUAACCUACCUAUAAGACUGGGAUAACUUCGGGAAACCGGAGCUAAUACCGGAUAAUAUUUAGCUUCGCAUGAAGCAAUAGUGAAAGACGGUUCUGCUGUCACUUAUAGAUGGACCCGCGGUGUAUUAGCUAGUUGGUGAGGUAACGGCUCACCAAGGCAACGAUACAUAGCCGACCUGAGAGGGUGAUCGGCCACACUGGGACUGAGACACGGCCCAGACUCCUACGGGAGGCAGCAGUAGGGAAUCUUCCGCAAUGGACGAAAGUCUGACGGAGCAAUGCCGCGUGAGUGAAGAAGGUUUUCGGAUCGUAAAACUCUGUUGUAAGGGAAGAACAAGUACGUUAGUAACUGAACGUACCUUGACGGUACCUUACCAGAAAGCCACGGCUAACUACGUG